Odocoileus virginianus texanus is the source of this 651-nucleotide non-coding RNA. The record is from RefSeq and is a predicted model, not a curated record. NCBI's taxonomy places the organism in Eukaryota, Metazoa, Chordata, Mammalia, Artiodactyla, Cervidae.
GGUGAGCUACUGUUGGGUAUCUUGGCUGGCAGGUAAAGCUGGGAGGUCCCGGCCAGGGGCGCUGGUUGGAGACAUGAUUGCAAUGUGGGCCUUAGGAUUUGAGCCAAAGAAAGAAGAAAUUAAAAAGAUGAUAGCUGAAACUGACAAAGAAGGAAUUGGCACCAUUAGUUUUGAAGAAUUUUUUGCCAUAAUGAGUGUAAAAAUGAGUGAAAAGGAUGAAAAAGAAGAAAUACUGAAGGCUUCCAAAUUAUUUGAUGAUGAUGAUACAGGAAGUAUAUCACUGAACAAUAUCAAGAGGGUUGCUAAGGAGCUAGGGGAAAUUUUAACAGAUGAUGAACUUCAGGAAAUGCUUGAUGAGGCUGAUCAUGAUGGUGAUGGAGAAAUAAACAAGGAAGAAUUUUUGAAAAUGAUGCAAAAGACCACUCUUUAUUAAUACUGUCUUUUGUGCCUUCUGGAAAGUUGUUAACAAGUUUGUAUUUGUUGUAAGUUCCAUAAUAGUGAAUGUAUUCAUUUUCAAUGUUUAAUAAGUUUAUAUACAUAAACUGGUCUCUUGAUGUCUAAUCCAUGUGAGAAGUUACAUGUUGCUACCAAUAUGUUCUUAAAUCUAUAACAUCAAGAACUAAAAUGUAGUGACUUCCUUAAAAAAAAAAA